GGACUACCGGGGUAUCUAAUCCUGUUCGCUCCCCACGCUUUCGCGCCUCAGCGUCAGUAUCAGGCCAGGUGGCUGCCUUCGCCAUCGACGUUCCUUCCGAUCUCUACGCAUUUCACCGCUACACCGGAAAUUCCGCCACCCUCUCCUAUACUCUAGUCGCACAGUCUGCGAUGCGCUUCCCAGGUUAAGCCCGGGGCUUUCACAUCACUCUUAUGCCACCGCCUACGCGCCCUUUACGCCCAGUAAUUCCGAUUAACGCUCGCACCCUCUGUAUUACCGCGGCUGCUGGCAC
Molecule: ribosomal RNA, 292 nt
Filed under: uncultured bacterium
Lineage: Bacteria
Description: partial 16S ribosomal RNA
Source: RNAcentral